UACUAUAGAAAGAAAUAUAAGAGAAUAUGAUUAGAUAUUCUAGAAGUUGGGUAAGUAAGGAAUUGGAGGGAAAUGUGGAUGAGUUGUUAGGGAGCCAGCUGUUCUGUAGUUGGCAAGUGAGCUGUUUUGUAGUUGGCAAGUGAGCUGUUCUACAGUUGGCAAGAUAAGACAGCUGAGGCAGUUAUGAGAUAGUUGUUGUAUAAAUAACUCAGCUAUAUAUUUCUUGUAUUCAUUCCAGAAUUUACAAGAAAUACAAUAACUACUCUCUAUU
This 271-nucleotide unclassified non-coding RNA is filed under the name Hevea brasiliensis (rubber tree). Lineage: Eukaryota; Viridiplantae; Streptophyta; Magnoliopsida; Malpighiales; Euphorbiaceae. The record is from RNAcentral.